CGGUGUUCAACUGGCGUGCCCGCGGGACGACCUGCCGGUGAGCUCAUCCCGCGAGGGCGGCUCAACUUGAAAUCCCAUCGCGGUGCUCUUCAUUGAGUGUCGAGGUGGGCCGGCACGAUUACUUUUGAACAAAAUUAGAGUGCUUAAAGCAGGCUAAAAUUUUUCCUGAAUACUGUGUAUAUGGAAAAAUGGAAUAAGGACCUCUGUUCUAUUUUUGUUGGUUUUCGGAACCCCCAGGUAAUGAUUAAUAGGAAUGGAUGGGGGCAUUCGUAUUGCGACGUUAGAGGUGAAAUUCUUGUAUCGUCGCAAGACGGACUAAAGCGAAAGCAUUUGCCAAAAACGCUUUCAUUGAUCAAGAACGAAAGUUAGAGGUUCGAAGGCGAUCAGAUACCGCCCUAGUUCUAACCAUAAAAUAUGCCAGCUAGCGAUCCGCCGACGUCCCUCUGAUGACUCGGCGGGCAGCUUCCGGGAAACCAAAGCUUUUGGGUUCCGGGGGAAGUAUGGUUGCAAAGCUGAAACUUAAAGGAAUUGACGGAAGGGCACCCCCAGGAGUGGAGCCUGCGGCUUAAUUUGACUCAACACGGGAAACCUCCCCAGGCCCAGACACUGGAAGGAUUGACAGAUUGAGAGCUCUUUCUUGAUUCAGUGGGUGGUGGUGCAUGGCCGUUUUUAGUCGGUGGAGCGAUUUGUCAGGUUAAUUCCGAUAACGGACGAGACUCUGACCUGAUAACUAGACGCACUUGCGGCAUCUCAAAGGUCCGCCGGCGGCUGGCUUUGCGCCCGUCGUCGCGCGCGAUUUUUACUGCCGGCGUACAAUAAAUUCUUCUUAGAGGGACAAGUGG
Molecule: ribosomal RNA, 842 nt
Filed under: uncultured eukaryote
Lineage: Eukaryota
Description: SSU rRNA
Rfam family: Eukaryotic small subunit ribosomal RNA
Source: RNAcentral